Molecule: long non-coding RNA, 382 nt
Filed under: Oryctolagus cuniculus (rabbit)
Lineage: Eukaryota; Metazoa; Chordata; Mammalia; Lagomorpha; Leporidae
Description: lncRNA (ENSOCUG00000032227.1)
Source: RNAcentral
GUGCAAACAAACCGGUUUUUAUAGUUAGCAUGGCAUUUUGAAUGGAGUUUGAAGCCUAAAGGACACUAUUCUACUUGCAGAUGAAGAUGGGAAAUGUAACAUUCCAUUAUCUUGCUUGGGAUUUAUGGAAAUGCUGAACAAUGACGUGAGAAUGACUACAAUCUGAAGCAUCUGUUAAACACAGCAGCGUGACAUCACAAGUGAUCUUGGUUCCUGGCAUGAAUUCAGAGGAGCAUUUCCUGAUCUCGAGUACACUGAGACAUUCAUAAUUUCCCAUGAAAAUCAAUGAGAAAGAGCAGGACCACCGGGUCAAGCCAGAUCUGACCUCACCACCUGUGGAUAUCCAGGACUUCCAUGACAAAACAGGAAGGGAAUAUACUGU